UUGUAGUGCAGCGAGUUGAGCUCUUCUUGCCUAAGUGGUCGCGCCCCCUUUAAGAGCAGCGAUUGUAAGGAGAGGCAGUCCCGGUGUCCUCGGGUCCCAGGUGAUUGUGAAGUGCUGACCAAUUGCCACUGGACAUACUUGAAACAAAAUAGGAAAAUGGCAGCAAACUCUUCAGGACAAGACAAGGUCUCGCUGUGUUGCCCAGGCUGAUCUUGAACUCCUGGCCUCAGGUGAUCCUCCUGCCUCAACUUCCCAAAGCACUAGGAUUACAAAUGUUUUCAAAACAAAAAUAGAGUUGCAAUCUUGGCAGAACUGGACAAAGAGAAAAGAAAACUACUUAUGCAGAACCAGUCUUCAACAAAUCAUCCUGGAGCUAGCAUGCUCAUGCACAUUCAUCUGGAUACUUCAUCACUCAAGACUCUGCAUUUGGGAACCUUAUUCUUCCUGUUUUACCUCGCCUUGACCCAGAAUGAAGAAAACAUUUGCGAUGGAAAAGUGACUUUGUAAUAUCAGAUGCCAAAGCUACUAUCAUUCAGUGCUACAUGAACUGUGACUUUAAGAAUUUUGAUGAACUUUGAUAUUUUUGUUUGUCUGAAAGAAAGGAAUGUGUAAGUGAAAGCUGAAAGAAGAAUAACCAGGAUGAUGAGAGCUGUGGAAGCUGUAUCGUCCAAGAAAUUGAUUAUGUACCGUGACUGUAACUUUUUUGUAAUGCUGUUUAACUCUCAAUCAGACUCUGAACUGGAUGGUCACGAAGUCAUUCCCCAACUCCUAGCAAGUUUGACUGAAUAUAUCAUGUCCACAGUAGAUUUUCAAGAAUCAUUUAUAGUACUUAACUUUAAAGAAACAAGGCUGCUUUUAAAAAAUGAACUAAUAGGCUU
This 878-nucleotide small RNA is filed under the name Pan troglodytes (chimpanzee). RNAcentral's name for it is "processed transcript". The record is from RNAcentral. Lineage: Eukaryota; Metazoa; Chordata; Mammalia; Primates; Hominidae.